Molecule: ribosomal RNA, 253 nt
Filed under: uncultured bacterium
Lineage: Bacteria
Description: partial 16S ribosomal RNA
Rfam family: Bacterial small subunit ribosomal RNA
Source: RNAcentral
CACGUAGGGGGCAAGCGUUGUCCGGAUUUAUUGGGCGUAAAGAGCUCGUAGGCGGCUUGGUAAGUCAGGUGUGAAACCCCCGGGCUCAACCCGGGGACGCCACCUGAUACUGCUAUGGCUUGAGUCCGGUAGGGGAGCGUGGAAUUCCUGGUGUAGCGGUGAAAUGCGCAGAUAUCAGGAGGAACACCAGCGGCGAAGGCGGCGCUCUGGGCCGGAACUGACGCUGAGGAGCGAAAGCGUGGGGAGCAAACAG